This 399-nucleotide ribosomal RNA is filed under the name uncultured Oomycota. RNAcentral's name for it is "LSU rRNA". It matches the Rfam family "Eukaryotic large subunit ribosomal RNA", at positions 326 to 628 of the family's 3401-position model. The record is from RNAcentral. Lineage: Eukaryota; Oomycota.
GUGCGAGACCGAUAGCGAACAAGUACCGUGAGGGAAAGAUGAAAAGAACUUUGAAAAGAGAGUUAAAGAGUACCUGAAACUGUUGAAAGGGAACCGUAACAUGUCCAGUGUUUUAUCUCUUAUAUAUUUCAUUAGUACAGCAAUGCACUGGUGCCCUGUAUAAGAGUGUGACGUCAAAGUCAGUUUGUAUAUUGCGGGAGAUGGUUAAUAAGGAGGUGCGUCACUUUUGUGUCAGUUAUACCUUGUUAACUAGUUGCCGUGGUAGAGACUGAGGUGCCUACAACAUGCUUAUCAAGUGUAUGUUUGUCUCGUUAUUCUAUUUGUUUGGAUAGCUUGCUAUGCUAAUGAACUAGAGUAGCGAUGGAUAGAUAUAUUAACUUGUUGCUGUUCGGGACUUUG